Molecule: ribosomal RNA, 1444 nt
Filed under: uncultured organism
Description: SSU rRNA
Rfam family: Bacterial small subunit ribosomal RNA
Source: RNAcentral
GCUACAGGCUUAACACAUGCAAGUCGAGGGGCAGCAUGGUCUUAGCUUGCUAAGGCCGAUGGCGACCGGCGCACGGGUGAGUAACACGUAUCCAACCUGCCGUCUACUCUUGGACAGCCUUCUGAAAGGAAGAUUAAUACAAGAUGGCAUCAUGAGUCCGCAUGUUCACAUGAUUAAAGGUAUUCCGGUAGACGAUGGGGAUGCGUUCCAUUAGAUAGUAGGCGGGGUAACGGCCCACCUAGUCUUCGAUGGAUAGGGGUUCUGAGAGGAAGGUCCCCCACAUUGGAACUGAGACACGGUCCAAACUCCUACGGGAGGCAGCAGUGAGGAAUAUUGGUCAAUGGGCGAGAGCCUGAACCAGCCAAGUAGCGUGAAGGAUGACUGCCCUAUGGGUUGUAAACUUCUUUUAUAAAGGAAUAAAGUCGGGUAUGGAUACCCGUUUGCAUGUACUUUAUGAAUAAGGAUCGGCUAACUCCGUGCCAGCAGCCGCGGUAAUACGGAGGAUCCGAGCGUUAUCCGGAUUUAUUGGGUUUAAAGGGAGCGUAGAUGGAUGUUUAAGUCAGUUGUGAAAGUUUGCGGCUCAACCGUAAAAUUGCAGUUGAUACUGGAUAUCUUGAGUGCAGUUGAGGCAGGCGGAAUUCGUGGUGUAGCGGUGAAAUGCUUAGAUAUCACGAAGAACUCCGAUUGCGAAGGCAGCCUGCUAAGCUGCAACUGACAUUGAGGCUCGAAAGUGUGGGUAUCAAACAGGAUUAGAUACCCUGGUAGUCCACACGGUAAACGAUGAAUACUCGCUGUUUGCGAUAUACUGCAAGCGGCCAAGCGAAAGCGUUAAGUAUUCCACCUGGGGAGUACGCCGGCAACGGUGAAACUCAAAGGAAUUGACGGGGGCCCGCACAAGCGGAGGAACAUGUGGUUUAAUUCGAUGAUACGCGAGGAACCUUACCCGGGCUUAAAUUGCAGAUGAAUUACGGUGAAAGCCGUAAGCCGCAAGGCAUCUGUGAAGGUGCUGCAUGGUUGUCGUCAGCUCGUGCCGUGAGGUGUCGGCUUAAGUGCCAUAACGAGCGCAACCCUUGUUGUCAGUUACUAACAGGUUCCGCUGAGGACUCUGACAAGACUGCCAUCGUAAGAUGUGAGGAAGGUGGGGAUGACGUCAAAUCAGCACGGCCCUUACGUCCGGGGCUACACACGUGUUACAAUGGGGGGUACAGAGGGCCGCUACCACGCGAGUGGAUGCCAAUCCCCAAAACCUCUCUCAGUUCGGACUGGAGUCUGCAACCCGACUCCACGAAGCUGGAUUCGCUAGUAAUCGCGCAUCAGCCACGGCGCGGUGAAUACGUUCCCGGGCCUUGUACACACCGCCCGUCAAGCCAUGGGAGCCGGGGGUACCUGAAGUGCGUAACCGCGAGGAGCGCCCUAGGGUAAAACUGGUGACUGGGGCUAAAUC